RNAcentral lists this ribosomal RNA (292 nucleotides) under uncultured microorganism. RNAcentral describes it as "partial 16S ribosomal RNA". It matches the Rfam family "Bacterial small subunit ribosomal RNA", at positions 505 to 796 of the family's 1533-position model. The record is from RNAcentral.
GUGCCAGCAGCCGCGGUAAUACGAGGGGGGCAAAUGUUCAACGGAAUCACUGGGCGUAAAGGGAGCGUAGGCGGGUUCUUAAGUUAGGUGUUUAAUCCCGGGGCCCAACCCCGGACCGGCACUUAAAACUGGGAAUCUUGAAUAGUGGAGAGGUCGGUGGAAUUGGGGGUGUAGCGGUGGAAUGCGUAGAGAUCCCCAAGAACACCAGUUGCGAAGGCGGCCGACUGGACACAUAUUGACGCUGAGGCUCGAAAGCAUGGGGAGCAAACAGGAUUAGAUACCCUGGUAGUCC